Bicyclus anynana (squinting bush brown) is the source of this 2658-nucleotide RNA transcript. RefSeq lists it as uncharacterized. The transcript is spliced from 3 exons. The record is from RefSeq and is a predicted model, not a curated record. NCBI's taxonomy places the organism in Eukaryota, Metazoa, Arthropoda, Insecta, Lepidoptera, Nymphalidae.
UCAAUUAAUUUAAAUUAUCUUUAAUUUGAGAUUUUUUUUAAUUUAUUGUUUUUAUACUUUGAUUUUUUUUUCUAAAAAUGGGUGAUGCAAAAAUAAAAGAAUUGACAAAACUUCGCGGUAGUGUUAAGGGGAAGCUAACAAUUUUUCAAAAUUAUUUAAGCAGCUUUGAUGAUAGUAAUCAUGAUGAUUUAACUGAAAAUCAAAUUAAUGAGCUUGAGUGCCGGUUAAAUAAAGUAGACAGCUUGCAUGUUGAAUUCGAUAAAUUUCAGACGGAACUCGAAAUGUUAUCAGAAGAUCCAAGUCAACUAUUUUCUGAGCGUGAGGAAUUUGACCAAAAGUAUUUUUCAUUGGUAGCAUCCGCAAGAACAAUUAUGAACAGGAGCAGACGUCAACUGCAUCGGAGACUUUCUGUGUCCGAGACUAGUGAAGGGAGCGUAAGCAGAGAUGGAGGGUUUCGAGAUUUCGUUCGUUUACCUAAAAUCUCCCUUCCCUUCUUCAAUGGUGAAAAAAUGGAAAAUUGGCUGGAGUUCAGAGAUACCUACCUGUCUCUAAUUCAUAAUUGUUCCACCAUUGGUAAUAUCAAUAAAUUUCACUAUUUAAGAGCAGCAUUAAAAGGCAGUGCCUUAACUGUAAUACAAAGUCUUGAAUUCACAGCAAAAAAUUAUGACGUUGCUUGGCAAUUGCUUUCUAGUAGGUACGAUAACGAACGCAUUUUAGUAAAUAUACAUGUUAACGCUUUAUUAAAUUUCACACAAAUUCAAAAAGAGUCUGGUAAAAUAUUAAGAAAUUUAGUCGAUACCGUUAAUCGAAAUUUAUGUGCAUUAAAUAGUUUGGGUCAACCCACCGAUCAUUGGGAUACCUUAAUAAUACAUUUGAUGAGUAGGAAAUUAGACAGUGUCACCUUUCGUCACUGGGAGGAACACCGGAAUUCAAUAACGACAUCACCAACAUUAAAACAAUUUUUAACUUUUUUAACAAAUCGAGCAGACUUGUUAGAUACAAUACAGUUGGAAGAUACAAAAAGAGAAGAUACAUCACAAUUAAAUCAUUUCACACAAAACACAAAAAACACAAUUUACAACAAAACAAAAAACACAAAAAAUGAAAUUUCAUGUCCUAUGUGUAAACAAAAUCAUUUUCUAUUUAGCUGUGCGGAAUUUCGAAAGUUAAAUGUUAAUACACGGUUAGAAAAAGUAAAGGAUUUUGGAGUCUGUAAAAAUUGCUUACGGCCUGGACACAAAGACAGAUUCUGUCGAUUAACUCACUGCAAAUACUGUAAUUUGAAGCACAGUAGUCUUCUACACAAAGAUACUGAACAGGAAACUGUCGUAGCUUUGUCGUCAUCUAUAAAAGCUAGUGACAAGCCUCUUACAUUACUUUCCACAGCCUUGGUGAACGUGGUCGGCGCGGACGGCAGAUUGCACACCGCUCGCGCUCUUCUUGACAAUGGUGCUACUGCGCACUAUGUCACACAACACCUCUGUGAGAAGCUGGGUUUGGCACGAAAAAACACGCAUCAGAGCGCGCUUACGGAACGUGUAUCUACGUAAGAACGGUCGACGCAAACGGCACUGUACAUAUUCGCCUUCUAGCUUCUAGAAAUAAAGUGGCGCCUCUAAAACCUACCACAAUACCCAGACUGGAGCUUUGUGGUGCGGUUCUAGCCACAAGACUUCAUGCUAAAGUGAUUUCAUCACUGACACUUAAGUUAAGGCUGUACACUUGGAGCUCGUCACAGACCUUACUAAAGAGGCCUUCCUCGCUGCAUUCUUUAGGUUUAUCAGUCGCCAUGGAAAGCCAUUGACUGUGACGUCAGAUAACUCCACAACGUUCCUUGGAGCCAGUAACGAUAUAUCCAACUUUUUCACACAUCUGUCCGAAGACAUUAAAGCUGAUUUGAGUACCCAUGGAAUUAAUUUUAAAACCAUACCUCCUUAUACUCCUCAUAUGGGCGGACUAUGGGAGAGCGCGGUCAAAUCGGUAAAGCAUCAUUUAAAGCGGAUUUUAAAUUUAACACACUUAACCUAUGAGGAGAUGGCAACAUGCCUUGCUCAAAUUGAAGCUAUCCUUAAUUCCAGACCGCUGACACCUCUUUCUUCCGAUCCUUCAGACCUCUCAUGUUUAACUCCAGCUCACUUUCUAAUUGGACGACCACUUUUAUCUGUUCCUCGUCCUCCUGUCAGCGACGCCAAGCUCAGCGCCUUGGACCGCUACCAGAGGAUUGAGAAGCUGAAGCAACACUUCUGGGAUCGGUUCUCAAUAGAAUAUAUAUCUCUUCUUCAGCAACGUACCCGAUGGCAAUCAGCGAGUCCGGAUUUGCAGCUGGGCAGCUUGGUUCUUAUUAAGGAAAGGGGCCAGCCGCCUCUUCUGUGGUUGCUCGGACGAAUAGUCAAGUUGCACUCGGGCAGAGACGGAGUUUCGCGAGUAGCCGAGAUCCAGACCAGGAGAGGCCUAAUCACUCGGGCCUAUAAUAACAUCUGCCCCCUGCCUAUUUGACAGCCUCGGCUUGGGCGGGCAGGAUGUCCAAGCGGACGACUACGCGGGUUGCGGGGCGCGGGGACUCCGCGCCGGCCCGUCGUGCCAGCGACCGACGCGCGAACACUUCGAAAUUGAUUCGCACGGACUGUGUGCGCAUACAUACUUAAUACAUAUUGUUGU